GGGAGUGAAAUAGAACCUGAAACCGUAUACGUACAAGCAGUGGGAGCCCUUCGGGGUGACUGCGUACCUUUUGUAUAAUGGGUCAGCGACUUAUAUUUAGUAGCAAGGUUAAGUGAAUAACGGAGCCGUAGCGAAAGCGAGUGUUAACUGCGCGUUUAGUUGCUAGGUAUAGACCCGAAACCCGGUGAUCUAGCCAUGAGCAGGUUGAAGGUUGAGUAACAUCAACUGGAGGACCGAACCCACUAACUUUGAAAAGUUAGGGGAUGACUUGUGGCUGGGGGUGAAAGGCCAAUCAAACCGGGAGAUAGCUGGUUCUCCCCGAAAUCUAUUUAGGUAGAGCCUCGGACGAAUUCCAUUGGGGGUAGAGCACUGUUAAGGCUAGGGGGUCAUCCCGACUUACCAACCCUUUGCAAACUCCGAAUACCAAUGAGAACUAUCCGGGAGACACACGGCGGGUGCUAACGUCCGUCGUGGAGAGGGAAACAACCCAGACCGCCAGCUAAGGUCCCAAAAUAUUGCUAAGUGGGAAACGAUGUGGGAAGGCAUAGACAGCUAGGAGGUUGGCUUAGAAGCAGCCAUCCUUUAAAGAAAGCGUAAUAGCUCACUAGUCGAGUCGGCCUGCGCGGAAGAUGUAACGGGGCUAAGCAAUAUACCGAAGCUGCGGCAGCAUGUUUACAUGCUGGGUAGGGGAGCGUUGUGUAAGUGGAUGAAGGUGAGUUGUAAAGCUUGCUGGACAUAUCACAAGUGCGAAUGCUGACAUGAGUAACGAUAAUGGGAGUGAAAAACUCCCACGCCGGAAGACCAAGGUUUCCUGUCCCAUGCUAAUCAGGGCAGGGUAAGUCGGCCCCUAAGGCGAGGCAGAAAUGCGUAGUCGAUGGGAAACGGGUUAAUAUUCCCGUACUUAUAUAAUCAGUGAUGGAGGGACGGAGAAGGCUAGGCAAGCUUGGCGUUGGUUGUCCAAGUGAAAGUGAGUAGGCUGAAGACUUAGGUAAAUCCGGGUUUUCAAGGCCGAGACACGAGACGAGCUCCCAAGGGAGUGAAGUUGUUGAUGCCCUGCUUCCAGGAAAAGCUUCUAAACUUAUGAUUAUAUGAACCGUACCCCAAACCGACACAGGUGGUCAGGUAGAGAAUACUAAGGCGCUUGAGAGAACUCGGGUGAAGGAACUCGGCAAAAUUGUACCGUAACUUCGGGAGAAGGUACGCCUCUGUUUGUGAACACUUCGCGUGGUAAGCAAAUGGAGGCCGCAGUGACCAGGUGGCUGGGACUGUUUAUUAAAAACACAGCACUCUGCAAAGACA
Molecule: ribosomal RNA, 1299 nt
Filed under: Lotharella globosa
Lineage: Eukaryota; Cercozoa; Chlorarachniophyceae
Description: partial Bacterial large subunit ribosomal RNA
Rfam family: Bacterial large subunit ribosomal RNA
Source: RNAcentral